Non-coding RNA from Podarcis lilfordi (Lilford's wall lizard), 75 nucleotides. NCBI's taxonomy places the organism in Eukaryota, Metazoa, Chordata, Lepidosauria, Squamata, Lacertidae. The record is from the annotation of a GenBank genome assembly.
GCCCAGGCUUACCUCAAUUGAUAGAGGAUGAGAUACUCAAUAUCAGGGUCAUGGGUUCAAGACCCACAUAGGGCA